Molecule: long non-coding RNA, 1216 nt
Organism: Xenopus laevis (African clawed frog)
Lineage: Eukaryota; Metazoa; Chordata; Amphibia; Anura; Pipidae
Exons: 6
Source: RefSeq, a predicted model, not a curated record
GUGAAGGAGAGGAUGAGAAAGUAUGAAGGCGAGAUCUGGGGGUGGAGGAUCAGGCUCAAGCUGAGCUACAUUACACUCUCUUGAGACCCUGCUGACAUCUCAUUCAGUACGAGUAGGAAGCAUCCCCUGCUUCCCCACCUCAUUCAUUAUUUCAAACGCUAGAGAAAUGACAGGGACAUGCAGCAUCUUUCUACUUAUUGCAGUGCUGCAGCAGCAAACUCUUCAGUGAUUUCUUCUGUCUUUACCAGGCUUCUUUCCCCUCUCACUUCUUAGAGCUGCACUGUCCUGUUAUUAUUUGUCCUUGCUAUCACUGCCUCCUUACCCCUCACUUGUCCCAGUGUCCUGCCUGUAAUUAGCUUCUUUCCAGCCGGAGGGAGCAAUUUUUUUCCUUUGGAAGAAUGACAUGUUCCGCUUCAGAAGCUCCUACUUUAAUCUCUAACAAUUGAAACCAACAGAGCUACUGUGCCAUGCCAUGAGGAUUGAUGUAUAAGAGCUGACCCUUGUGGGUGUUGUAGGGAAGCAAAGCAGCAGAAGUUCUAAAUUGAACAUUUUGACAUGAUGCUUGGCUCCUUUGGAUCUACUUGAUAGCACAGCCUACUGUAAAGAAUGAAAGAGCAAUCAAGCCUCUGACAUGAAAGAAGAGAUUAAUGUGGCAAUCCAGGCAAAAUCGGAGCAGGCAGGAAAUUAGACAGGCACUCUCCUAUUCAUCCUCCAUUCUAUCCGCUGCCUUGUUGCUAAGGGAAGAGGAAUCCUAGAAACAAGAUAAUAGCAUUAUUUUCAACUGGAUAGAUGCAGAACGAAAAGUUUCAAAAACCCACAAAGGAAAAAAUCAGUUACAAAACGUCUUAGAAUACCAUUGGCUGCAUCAUACUAAGGGGCUAACAUUUCCAAUAUGGAGCAUUCAUUUCACACUGGUGAAAAUUGACAUCUCUUUUCCAGAUGUACUUAUUCUUAAGGUGGCCAUUAAAACUCAAAUUGGGUCAGACACCAGCUGAUUUCGAGCAUACUGCUGACCAUCUGGGUAUGUCUGGCCAGUCGUGGGGCCCCUUAGACCGACCAUCCUGAAAUCCUGGUGGAUUGAAAAUUAUCCAUCAGUUCCUUCUCAGUGUUGUGGACCUGGGCUUGAUUCUGGCCAGGGCUCUACAUCUACAGACUAAACUACACCAUCAGUGAUCUAGAAACGGCGAAAGGGCGACCAUCGAUGCUGCUGGGCUCG